AUGGGAGGGCUCAUCCAUUGGGAUUUCAACCCCGGCCUUAAGGUUGAGGACCAGGUUCGUAGGCGCUUCAAAUCCACGGUCCAUUUCUCCCCGGAUUCUUCGUCCAAGGAGUUUUUCUUGGUGGCAACGUUCUCGUCUGCUUCUUUUCCCUUGACUUGUGAUUUGGUUGGAUUGGCCUUACAAUGUUGCAUUGGAGAAAUUGCUUCUGGAUUCAAAGCUACUUCUAUUGGGUCAAGAAAUUUUAGGUUUUCGGUGGCUUCAAAUAAAGUUGGUCAUUUCAUAUAUGCCCUACGGGAUAGGGUUUGGCUAGACUUUGUUUGUCAAUUUGGUCUCUUCAAGCAUCCAUGGAACGUGCCAAUUAUGGAUCCAGUUGUGGGCAGCACUCCUCUUGGGGGUAAUGCCUCUAAAGCCAUCCGUUCUAAACUGCAUUUUCUUGAAAAAAGUGCAUCUAAAGAUGGCUCAGCCUCAAUAGAAUUCGCCAAGUUUGGGUUUUGCAUUCAGCGUUCUACCAACUUACUGAAUUCCUUCGACGAGGUUUCUGCUAAACCUGGAUGUUCACAAACAUUGCACCUCAUGGAUGAUUCUUCAUUCAACAAUGCACAUCCUGAGAAUUUGCAAGAGGGUCUAUUUUUUGGUAGUUUGCAUAUCCCAGUUUCUUCGGAUCAUACGGCCAUCACUACCUAG
Molecule: ribosomal RNA, 684 nt
Filed under: Triticum aestivum (bread wheat)
Lineage: Eukaryota; Viridiplantae; Streptophyta; Magnoliopsida; Poales; Poaceae
Description: partial small subunit ribosomal RNA
Source: RNAcentral